GACGUAGGUGGCGAACGUUAUCCGGAAUUAUUGGGCGUAAAGGGUGCGUAGACGGCAUGACAAGUUAUUGGCGGGAAAUCGAGGCUCAACCUCGUGGAAACUAGUAAUACUGUUUUGCUUGAGUACAGGAGAGGUUAACGGAACUCCAUGUGGAGCGGUAAAAUGUGUAGAUAUCGCUUGGAACGCCGAAGGUGAAAACAGACUGCUGGGGUUGCGCCGACGCUGAGACACGAAAGCCAGGGGAGCAAACGGG
This 253-nucleotide ribosomal RNA is filed under the name uncultured bacterium. RNAcentral describes it as "partial 16S ribosomal RNA". It matches the Rfam family "Bacterial small subunit ribosomal RNA", at positions 524 to 776 of the family's 1533-position model. The record is from RNAcentral.